This is an RNA transcript of Homo sapiens (human), 2183 nucleotides long. It is a transcript of the gene named macrophage stimulating 1 like (pseudogene), with no coding region annotated. The record is from RefSeq and is marked validated. Lineage: Eukaryota; Metazoa; Chordata; Mammalia; Primates; Hominidae.
AUGGCGCCUGCCCCAGUCACCCUGCUGGCCCCUGGGGCAGCAUCCUCAAUGUCUUGCAGCCAGCCCGGGCAGCGCUCGCCAUCGAAUGACUUCCAGGUGCUCCGGGGCACAGAGCUACAGCACCUGCUACAUGCGGUGGUGCCCGGGCCUUGGCAGGAGGAUGUGGCAGAUGCUGAAGAGUGUGCUGGUCGCUGUGGGCCCUUAAUGGACUGCUGGGCGUUCCACUACAAUGUGAGCAGCCAUGGUUGCCAACUGCUGCCAUGGACUCAACACUCGCCCCACUCAAGGCUGUGGCAUUCUGGGCGCUGUGACCUCUUCCAGGAGAAAGGCGAGUGGGGGUACAUGCCCACGCUCCGGAAUGGCCUGGAAGAGAACUUCUGCCGUAACCCUGAUGGCGACCCCGGAGGUCCUUGGUGCCACACAACAGACCCUGCCGUGCGCUUCCAGAGCUGCAGCAUCAAAUCCUGCCGGGUGGCCGCGUGUGUCUGGUGCAAUGGCGAGGAAUACCGCGGCGCGGUAGACCGCACCGAGUCAGGGCGCGAGUGCCAGCGCUGGGAUCUUCAGCACCCGCACCAGCACCCCUUCGAGCCGGGCAAGUUCCUCGACCAAGGUCUGGACGACAACUAUUGCCGGAAUCCUGACGGCUCCGAGCGGCCAUGGUGCUACACUACGGAUCCGCAGAUCGAGCGAGAGUUCUGUGACCUCCCCCGCUGCGGGUCCGAGGCACAGCCCCGCCAAGAGGCCACAAGUGUCAGCUGCUUCCGCGGGAAGGGUGAGGGCUACCGGGGCACAGCCAAUACCACCACCGCGGGCGUACCUUGCCAGCGUUGGGACGCGCAAAUCCCGCAUCAGCACCGAUUUACGCCAGAAAAAUACGCGUGCAAGUGAGGUGGGCGGGGGGGCGGGCGUUGGGACGUGCUGCUGCGGAGACCUUCGGGAGAACUUCUGCUGGAACCUCGACGGCUCAGAGGCGCCCUGGUGCUUCACACUGCGGCCCGGCACGCGCGUGGGCUUUUGCUACCAGAUCCGGCGUUGUACAGACGACGUGCGGCCCCAGGACUGCUACCACGGCGCGGGGGAGCAGUACCGCGGCACGGUCAGCAAGACCCGCAAGGGUGUCCAGUGCCAGCGCUGGUCCGCUGAGACGCCGCACAAGCUGCAGGCCCUAACCCUGGGGCGGCAUGCUUUGGUGUCUGGGACCAGAGCCUGGAAAUGGUUGAGACUACCCUGCCACGAUUUUGCUCCCGCUCCCGCCUCGGUUCACAUUUACCUCCGAACCGCAUGCACAACUGGAGGAGAACUUCUGCCAGACCCAGAUGGGGAUAGCCAUGGGCCCUGGUGCUACACGAUGGACCCAAGGACCCCAUUCGACUACUGUGCCCUGCGACGCUGCGACCAGGUGCAGUUUGAGAAGUGUGGCAAGAGGGUGGAUCGGCUGGAUCAGCGUCGUUCCAAGCUGCGCGUGGCUGGGGGCCAUCCGGGCAACUCACCCUGGACAGUCAGCUUGGGGAAUCGCCAUAUGCCUCUCACGGGCUAUGAGGUAUGGUUGGGCACCCUGUUCCAGAACCCACAACAUGGAGAGCCAGGCCUACAGCGGGUCCCAGUAGCCAAGAUGCUGUGUGGGCCCUCAGGCUCCCAGCUUGUCCUGCUCAAGCUGGAGAGAUCUGUGACCCUGAACCAGCGUGUGGCCCUGAUCUGCCUGCCGCCUGAAUGGUAUGUGGUGCCUCCAGGGACCAAGUGUGAGAUUGCAGGCUGGGGUGAGACCAAAGAUACGGGUAAUGACACAGUCCUAAAUGUGGCCUUGCUGAACGUCAUCUCCAACCAGGAGUGUAACAUCAAGCACCGAGGACAUGUGCGGGAGAGCGAGAUGUGCACUGAGGGACUGUUGGCCCCUGUGGGGGCCUGUGAGAGUGACUACGGGGGCCUACUUGCCUGCUUUACCCACAACUGCUGGGUCCUGAAAGGAAUUAGAAUCCCCAACCGAGUAUGCACAAGGUCGCGCUGGCCAGCCGUCUUCACGCGUGUCUCUGUGUUUGUGGACUGGAUUCACAAGGUCAUGAGACUGGGUUAGGCCCAGCCUUGACGCCAUAUGCUUUGGGGAGGACAAAACUUGUAAGUACAGUCAAGGACAAGACUUGUACUCAAGGUUGAGAUUUAAUAAAAUUAAUAUUUUUACUACUUCA